Pelobates cultripes (western spadefoot toad) is the source of this 387-nucleotide non-coding RNA. Lineage: Eukaryota; Metazoa; Chordata; Amphibia; Anura; Pelobatidae. The record is from the annotation of a GenBank genome assembly.
CCCCUCCACUUUGGCCCCAACGGUACACUGUUCCACUCCUUUAUCCAAGCUUGGUCUCCUGGAUGGUAAGAAUGGACAGGUGGAUAAAUAUUUACAGGUAACCUAUCUUGUACCCAUUUCUGUACCUCCUCCAUAGUUUUACCCAACUCUAUAACCUGCCGCUGGGUAAUUCCUUCUCCCAACUGACUCAAGUCCCCCUUAAGUUACUAAGUAUGGGAGGUGGACGCCCAUACAUAAUUUCAAAGGGUGAUAGACCUAACUUUCUGGUAGGUGUACUACGAAUGCGCAACAGAGCUAUUGGCAAAAGAGCAUUCCACUUGAGUUGGGUUUCUUGACACAUUUUUGCCAACUGGGUCUUAAUGGUUCUGUUCAUCCUUUCCACUUUCC